GCUGGCAGGAGCCGAUGCUCAGCGCCUCUCCCAUUUCCCCCUUGCAGGAGGAAGCAGCAGAGCUUGGAGGCGGAGGAGGCCCGGCAGCGCCUGAAGGAGCAGUCCAUCUUUGGGGACCAGCAAGACGAGGACGACAGGCAGCAGUUUCGGAAAUCGGAGUCAGAGGUGGAGGAGGCUGCUGCCAUCAUCGCCCAGCGGCCUGACAACCCCCGGGAGUUCUUCAAGCAGCAGGAGCGGGUGGCAUCGGGCAGCAGUGAUGCUGUGUCACCAGGCAGCCACAGGACAGGUCGUCUGCACUGUCCUUUCAUAAAGACAGCUGACAGUGGGCCACCAUCUUCCUCCUCCUCCUCCUCCUCCCCCCCACGGACCCCCUUCCCCUAUAUCUCCUGCCACCGCACUCCAAAUCUCUCCUCUUUCUUCCCAUGUAGGUAGCUGGGAGCUCCCGGGCGCAGCUCCGGGGGUCGAGCCGGGG
Zonotrichia albicollis (white-throated sparrow) is the source of this 472-nucleotide non-coding RNA. The record is from RefSeq and is a predicted model, not a curated record. Lineage: Eukaryota; Metazoa; Chordata; Aves; Passeriformes; Passerellidae.